RNAcentral lists this ribosomal RNA (261 nucleotides) under uncultured bacterium. RNAcentral describes it as "partial 16S ribosomal RNA". It matches the Rfam family "Bacterial small subunit ribosomal RNA", at positions 526 to 779 of the family's 1533-position model. The record is from RNAcentral.
CGGAGGGCGUAGCGUUGUUCGGAAAGUAACUGGGCGGUAAAGACGCACGUAGGCGGCUCAGCAAGUCAGAGGUGAAAUACCCCACGGGCGUCAACCCUGGAACUGCCUUUGAAACUGCUAGGCUAGAAUCUUGGAGAGGUCAGUGGAAUUCCGAGUGUAGAGGUGAAAUUCGUAGAUAUUCGGAAGAACACCAGUGGCGAAGGCGACUGACUGGACAAGUAUUGACGCUGAGGUGCGAAAGCGUGGGAGCAAAACAGGAUU